RNAcentral lists this ribosomal RNA (682 nucleotides) under uncultured Actinomycetes bacterium. Its description in RNAcentral is "bacterial SSU rRNA". It matches the Rfam family "Bacterial small subunit ribosomal RNA", at positions 57 to 735 of the family's 1533-position model. Lineage: Bacteria; Bacillati; Actinomycetota; Actinomycetes. The record is from RNAcentral.
GCAAGUCGAACGCUGAAGGCCCAGCUUGCUGGGUUGGAUGAGUGGCGAACGGGUGAGUAACACGUGAGUAACCUGCCCCCUUCUUUGGGAUAACGGUCGGAAACGGCUGCUAAUACCGGGUAUUCACUGUCCUUCGCAUGGGGGGUGGUGGAAAGGUUUUUUCUGGUGGGGGAUGGGCUCGCGGCCUAUCAGCUUGUUGGUGGGGUGAUGGCUUACCAAGGCUUUGACGGGUAACCGGCCUGAGAGGGUGACCGGUCACAUUGGGACUGAGAUACGGCCCAGACUCCUACGGGAGGCAGCAGUGGGGAAUAUUGCACAAUGGGCGAAAGCCUGAUGCAGCGACGCCGCGUGAGGGAUGGAGGCCUUCGGGUUGUAAACCUCUUUCGCUCAUGGUCAAGCCGCAACAGUGGUUGUGGUGAGGGUAGUGGGUAAAGAAGCACCGGCUAACUACGUGCCAGCAGCCGCGGUAAUACGUAGGGUGCGAGCGUUGUCCGGAAUUAUUGGGCGUAAAGGGCUUGUAGGCGGUUUGUCGCGUCUGCCGUGAAAUCCUCUGGCUUAACUGGGGGCGUGCGGUGGGUACGGGCAGGCUUGAGUGCGGUAGGGGAGACUGGAACUCCUGGUGUAGCGGUGGAAUGCGCAGAUAUCAGGAAGAACACCGGUGGCGAAGGCGGGUCUCUGGGCC